This 128-nucleotide non-coding RNA is filed under the name Aurantiochytrium limacinum. The record is from RNAcentral. Lineage: Eukaryota; Bigyra; Thraustochytrida; Thraustochytriidae.
GCCCGGCUAACUACCCGCAAGCACCUGCUUCGCCGGCGCAUCGGCGUGCGAAUCGCGGCAUCACUGUCUAAUUGACACUAAACAUACGUUCACAAAUAUCAUAUCCAAACAAGAUCUCACUCUACGUG